Vigna umbellata (rice bean) is the source of this 115-nucleotide small nuclear RNA. RefSeq annotates it as U5 spliceosomal RNA. Lineage: Eukaryota; Viridiplantae; Streptophyta; Magnoliopsida; Fabales; Fabaceae. The record is from RefSeq and is a predicted model, not a curated record.
AGCCAUGUGAUAAGUGCAAAGCGAACUAUUCUUUCGCCUUUUACUAAAGAAUACCGUGUAUUUAUCACUUUUAAUGGCAUACGUGUAUUUUUGGAAGAGUCUGAUAAAAGGCUCU